AAGAACCAGCUCCCAACACUGCUCUCUUCUCCCCAGCUAAAGCCGAAGGUGCUCUGGAGGCUUGCUCCAGGCUGCUCCUCUGGGCUCUCCUACCUCUAAAUGUCGGGUACUUGGCUCAGUGCUCCCACCGACAGGGCUGGGCUGCUGGCUCGUGCAACUGAGGAAUGCCUGCCUGGAACUCUGAAUCUGCAGGGCACCGCGGGGAACAAACGGGAGGGGCCCACGUCAUGGGGAGGGGCCCGGGCAGUGCCAGGCCCUCACUGAACUUCCAAGAGCUAGGCUUUUCCAGCCUGCAAGUCAGAGGGGGCACAUGUGCUUCUCACCAGGUAGAAGCAGCAGAACCCCAAGCUCCACGCCCCUCUUGAAGCUCCAGGCUAUGAGCACUGUUCCCCUAUCCUCACUCCCACUCGGAGAAGAGAAAAAGGAAGCAAGGCCCUCACCCAGGCCUACGGGGCCAUACCUUCUCCCACAGUGCUGCCCUGGCCACAAGCAAAUCGCCCAGCCUCUCUAAGCCUCAGUUUCUUCAAUAAGCUAUGGCAAAUAACUCUUACCCUACAAUACUGGUGUGAGGUUUACAAAGGACAGCGGAGCACUGCAAGCACUGGGACUUAUUUGCUUUGUGAAA
Cavia porcellus (domestic guinea pig) is the source of this 625-nucleotide long non-coding RNA. RefSeq lists it as uncharacterized. The transcript has 3 exons. Lineage: Eukaryota; Metazoa; Chordata; Mammalia; Rodentia; Caviidae. The record is from RefSeq and is a predicted model, not a curated record.